AUGUAGAAAACAUGCUUUAAAACCAAUAAGACAUAGUCAUAUCUAAGAUAAGAUCUAAUGGAUGAGCAAAAACUAGCCAAGUAUUCUGAAGCGAGGGAGAGCAAUCGUGGUGGCUCUGAGGUGGGAGAAAUGGUAGUGUGUCCAGGAGAUUAAAAAUGCUGGGUGGCUGGUCCUCAGAAAUAGAGAUGAGGCAAUAAGGAUGAAGUUAGCUGAUAGGUAGAUCCUUAUAAAUGGUGUUAGGGAUGUGGAAUUUCAUCCUGAAAGCAAUAAGAGUCCUUUGAAAGGUUUUCCACAGGAAGUGGAUAUGACAGGGUGAGUAAUGAGUGCAACAAUGAGAUAUUUAAAAGAUCUCUCCAUUUAGAGUCUGGAGAAUGGAGUGGGUGGGGCCAAACUGGAUGGUGGAAGAGCCGGCACAGGCCAUCACAGCCUCAUGAGAAAGACUAGCAGCUUUAUAAUUGGAAUUUGUGGCUGCAUUUGUGAUCGACUGGAUGGAGGAUGGACAGAGAAAGAGAGGAGACAAGGAUGAUUUCCAGGCAACUUCUUGGCUGCAGGCACAAUUCCCCAAGUCAGCAAACAUUGCAGCAGGACCAGGUUUGCAGAGCGUCUCCACUUGGUCAUCUCUAACAGACCGGACCCCGCCACUUUGCUAGGAUAUCCCAGAGGAGACCAGAGCAGAAUUCCCUGUGAAGAUAUUGCAAAUGCUGCACCACUUUGACACAGACGAAUAUUGCCUUAAUGCUUUCUCAUUGCAGCUCCAUUCUCAUUCCUCUUGUUCUAAUCUCACUGGGAACAGUAAGAAGCUGCCAUCAUUUUAUGUUAUACUUUUA
RNAcentral lists this long non-coding RNA (827 nucleotides) under Homo sapiens (human). RNAcentral describes it as "HSALNT0332040". Lineage: Eukaryota; Metazoa; Chordata; Mammalia; Primates; Hominidae. The record is from RNAcentral.